UGUGGAUUUUUGCAUGUACCGUAUGAAUAAGGAUCGGCUAACUCCGUGCCAGCAGCCGCGGUAAUACGGAGGAUCCGAGCGUUAUCCGGAUUUAUUGGGUUUAAAGGGAGCGUAGNUGGGCUGUUAAGUCAGUUGUGAAAGUUUGCGGCUCAACCGUAAAAUUGCANUUGAUACUGGCNGUCUUGAGUACAGUUGAGGUAGGCGGAAUUCGUGGUGUAGCGGUGAAAUGCUUAGAUAUCACGAANAACUCCGAUNGCGAAGGCAGCUUACUCACCUGNAACNGACAUUGAUGCUNGAAAGUGUGGGUAUCAAACAGGAUUAGAUACCCUGGUAGUCCACACAGUAAACGAUGAAUACUCGNUGUAGGCG
RNAcentral lists this ribosomal RNA (369 nucleotides) under uncultured bacterium. RNAcentral describes it as "partial 16S ribosomal RNA". It matches the Rfam family "Bacterial small subunit ribosomal RNA", at positions 460 to 828 of the family's 1533-position model. The record is from RNAcentral.